RNAcentral lists this ribosomal RNA (253 nucleotides) under uncultured bacterium. RNAcentral describes it as "partial 16S ribosomal RNA". It matches the Rfam family "Bacterial small subunit ribosomal RNA", at positions 524 to 776 of the family's 1533-position model. The record is from RNAcentral.
UACGGGGGGGGCAAGCGUUGUUCGGAAUUACUGGGCGUAAAGCGCACGUAGGCGGAUUGUUAAGUCAGGGGUGAAAUCCUGGAGCUCAACUCCAGAACUGCCUUUGAUACUGGCGAUCUCGAGUCCGGGAGAGGUGAGUGGAACUGCGAGUGUAGAGGUGAAAUUCGUAGAUAUUCGCAAGAACACCAGUGGCGAAGGCGGCUCACUGGCCCGGUACUGACGCUGAGGUGCGAAAGCGUGGGGAGCGAACAGG